UCUUUUUGGAGAGUUUGAUCCUGGCUCAGGACGAACGCUGGCGGCGUGCCUAAUACAUGCA
Molecule: ribosomal RNA, 61 nt
Filed under: Heyndrickxia ginsengihumi
Lineage: Bacteria; Bacillati; Bacillota; Bacilli; Caryophanales; Bacillaceae
Description: partial 16S ribosomal RNA
Rfam family: Bacterial small subunit ribosomal RNA
Source: RNAcentral